CGAACCUCACCACCCGUGUCUACCGUACCGUGUUGCUUCGGCGGGCCCGCCGCCUAGCCGGCCGCCGGGGGACCUCGUGUCCCCGGGCCCGCGCCCGCCGAAGACCCCCCGAACGCUGCCCGGAAGGUUGCUGUCUGAGCGGUUACAAACAAACCAACAAAACUUUCAACAACGGAUCUCUUGGUUCCGGCAUCGAUGAAGAACGCAGCGAAAUGCGAUAAGUAAUGUGAAUUGCAGAAUUCAGUGAAUCAUCGAAUCUUUGAACGCACAUUGCGCCCCCUGGUAUUCCGGGGGGCAUGCCUGUCCGAGCGUCAUUACUGCCCUCAAGCGCGGCUUGUGUGUUGGGCCUUCGCCCCCCCCGGGGGCGUGCCCGAAAGGCAGUGGCGGCGCCGUGCCCGGUCCUCGAGCGUAUGGGGCUUUGUCACCCGCUCUGGAGGCCCGGCCGGCCGCCGCCGACCCGCCCAGACCUUUAACC
This 475-nucleotide unclassified non-coding RNA is filed under the name Arachnomyces peruvianus. Its description in RNAcentral is "sequence contains ITS1, 5.8S rRNA gene and ITS2". The stretch from base 161 to 314 matches the Rfam family "5.8S ribosomal RNA". The record is from RNAcentral. Lineage: Eukaryota; Fungi; Ascomycota; Eurotiomycetes; Onygenales; Arachnomycetaceae.